Carlito syrichta (Philippine tarsier) is the source of this 526-nucleotide long non-coding RNA. RefSeq lists it as uncharacterized. Lineage: Eukaryota; Metazoa; Chordata; Mammalia; Primates; Tarsiidae. The transcript is spliced from 3 exons. The record is from RefSeq and is a predicted model, not a curated record.
UUUUGCAAUUUUUAACACAGAUUUCAGCAUUUUUAAAUAUGAAAUUGUAGGGAGAAUGCUAAACUUGCUAGGGGAAGAGUUCCAGGUCAGGGAGGCUUGUCCCGUCUGCCCUUCCUCUGGUUGGGGCCGGGCCAGCGCAUCUCUUCUUCCAUCUGCACAUUCACUGCCACCUCCCCAAGCUGAAACAUCACCUCUUGUUUCCACUCAGGUGAAGACCCCCUGGUGGACGAUCAAAAUGAACGAGAUAUCAAUUCAGUCGCAGGUGUUUUAAAACUGUAUUUCCGAGGACUGGAAAACCCACUCUUUCCUAAGGAAAGGUUUCAAGAUUUGAUAUCCACUAUUAAACUGGAGAACCCAGCUGAGAGAGUGCACCAGAUCCAACAAAUCCUCAUCACCCUUCCCCGCGUGGUCAUUGUGGUCAUGAGAUACCUCUUCGCUUUCCUCAACCACCUCUCCCAGUAUAGCGACGAGAACAUGAUGGAUCCAUACAACCUGGCCAUCUGCUUCGGGCCCACCCUCAUACACA